This 6517-nucleotide long non-coding RNA is filed under the name Sus scrofa (pig). RNAcentral's name for it is "lncRNA (ENSSSCG00015009316.1)". The record is from RNAcentral. Lineage: Eukaryota; Metazoa; Chordata; Mammalia; Artiodactyla; Suidae.
AGAAAUCAACCUUCAGAUAUGUAGUUGGCACACAGUGAACUUCCCCUCUCUUCUCACAUUUUCUCUUCUUCCUCUCACCUUCCUCUUAGUGUUAUUGUUAUUUUUGCUGCUGUUCUUAAGGUGGAUCUCCUUUUAUUCAGUGCCUUUUAAGAUGCUAACAUUAGCAGAAAUGAUUAGGAAAAAUACAGCUCACAAGUCCCAUGUGAAAAGGUGAUGUCCAUACCUCACAUAAUCAGGAGAAACCCCAUGUAGUUUGCUGCCCGAAAAUUAACAGAGCAUCCAACAAAAGCAGGUAUCACUUUCCAAGAGCAGUGGAGCAGUCCCUGCAGACAGCCUGCCACUUAGACUGGGCUCAUACGGGAGCUAUUCAGCUCCUUGAGAGUAGGGCUGGGCUGGCUUUUGUUCACUGUUUAUUUCUUCACGAUUAUCAAAAUAUUCAACUCAGAUGUACUGAAUGCAUUCAUAAACAAAGGAAUCAAUGGGUGAAUGCCAUGAUAUGAUGUCAUGGCUAUUUGCUCCUCUCAAAAGCAAUCUACGCAAGUGAAUUUGUAAAUGUUCAAAGUGAUGGUAAUAUUCUUUGCUAUGGAAAAGAAGUGAAAAGUAUCAGGUACAACAGGUCUGGGAAUGUGAGUAUUUGCCUAUCGUUUGAAUCCCUGAAUCUGUUCUGUGGUGAGGGGAAGGAAUGUUGGUCCCAAAGAGUGGAGCACAAAGGCGGCCCUAACCCAACAAGAGUGGGGUGCCUUGGGCAAGGUUUCUGCGGAGACCAUGUGGGGAAGGAGUCCCUGUAAUUUCAAAGCUAAGGCAGAAAUCACCUUUAAUGCGUAGCUGUGUUUGGGGCGGAUAGCCCUCCUCUGAGACAUGUGAUGUUUUCUCCUGAAAGCAAAUCAAAACCUGAGUAAACAAGAACCAGUGAUGGCAGAUGAAGAUAUCACAUGGGUCGCCACGGUUGAAGAGCCGCCAUAUUCAUCUUUGAGUAGCAUCUUGAGCCUAGGACUUUAAACCAAGAAAAGCUUUCCUGAAGGAGUGAGAUCUAGUCAUCACAAUAGGCAACAACUGUGGCCCCACUUCAUUGAGAGAUGCCUGAAAUCAAAGCUGAGUCAGCUCAGAGAAGCAUUCAGUAUGCAUUUUCCAUCUCUGCUCUUUCUUCUUGAGGUAUAGACUUGUGGGCAAAUUUAUGAAAAUCAGCCAUUGCUCUACACACUCACUUCCUUUAUUCUUACUUCUGGUAUUCUUUGAAUGGUUUAUCCAACAAAUAGUUAUUAUUCUCAAGUUUAUAAAUUGUUUUUGAAUAUGUUUUUAUUUCCAAGGCCUUUCUCUAUAGCUUCAGUAUUUCUAUUGGACUUAAUUUGUCUUUGGAUUAACAAAAUGUCUCCAAAAUUGUUCUUAGUUUCCUCCAAAGAAAAUUUUCUUCUUCUGUCUAUUGUUCAUCGCUUUCUUGUUCUGCACUGUGGUCAUACUCAAUGUUCUGGGAAUCUAUCCAAGUACUUUCAUAUACUUUGAAAUGAGAAGACAAAGGAUGAUAAGGACAUCAGCCAAUUUCUUCCGCUCUCUGGUCACAACAAGGGAGUUAAAACAUGAAUGUGGCAGAAACUACAUCUAAAGCAUGUAGUUCAAAAUCUGAGUGCUACACACAUGAUUGAUCAUGCAUGCAGCUUCUAAUGCAUGGCUUGAAUGCAAUAUAUUUAAAUAUUGAACAUCAAAACUCUUGCAUAUGUUUCAAAUAACAAGGUUGAUGUCAUGUUAAGGCUUCUUUGUGGAAAAGUUCAUACUUAAGACUAUCUGUUUUCAUUGGCAUUGCUUGGGAAAUUUUUAAUUCCAUUAGUUGUCAUACAUAUAUUCCAUGUAUGAGUUACUUCUGAAACCCUUUUGCAAUCUUGUAAGAAGCACAUGUGUGAGCACAUGUUUUAAAAAAGUCAUUGGUAUUUUAAAACCACUAGUUAGUCUUCUGUAUUAAAACUGACACGCAUGCGAAGUUUACAUUCCAACUUCUCUCACCUACUCACAGAUUAAGGUAUCUGGUUUUUUUCUUCCUCUUCAGUCUCAUCACAUGUGCUGAAUGGAUAAUUCUCAAUAGCAUAAAAUCAUGUGAUGUGAUUUUUAUUCCAUCUUGAAAUAAUCCCUUUGAUCCACAAUCCCCCUUCAACUACUGUCCGUUUCCCUGCUCUUCUCUGCUGUAACACUCUCACAAGUUGUCAAUACCUGCUUUUCCCCUUCUUUUUAUUUCCUUUUAUUCUUUCUUUCUCCAGUAUUUCCAUGAAAACCACCUUGUGGUCACAUUUCCAAAUACAAUGCUUGAUUCUUUACCAUUAUUAUAGUCAAUUUAAACUGUUCUAUCAGUUCCUGCUUUACAGCAAAGUGACCCUGUCAUACAUCUCUACACUCAUUAUCUGUUACUACAUUCGAUCACAAGUGAUUGGACAUCAUUCCCUGUGCUAUAUAGCAGGACCUCAUUGUCUAUCCAUUCUGAAUGUAACAGUUUGCAUCUAUUAACUGCCAACACCCAGUCCAUCCCACACCCUCCCCCUCCCCUAUGGCAACCACAAAUCUGCUGUCCAUGUCUGAGAGUCUAUUUCUGUUCUGUAGAUAGGUUCAUCUGUGCCAUAUUUCAGAUUCCACAUUUAAGUGAUAUCAUAUGGUAUCUGUCUUCUUUCUGACUGACUUAGUACGAGAAUCUCUUAUUCCAUCCACUUGCUGCAAAUGGCAUUAUCUUGUUCUUUUUUAUGUCUGAGUAAUAUUUAAUUUUUUAAAAUUUAAGUGUAUUUGAUUUACACUGUUGUGCCAGUAUCUGCUGUACAGCAGAAUGACCCAGUCAUAUAUUUCCUUUCUUAUAUUAUUUCCAUUAUCUUCUUAUAUUAUUUCCAUUAUGUUUUAUCCCAAGAGAUUGGAUAAACUUCCCUGUGCUAUACAGUAGGAUGUCAUUGCUUAUCCUUUCUAAAUAUAAUAGUUUGCAUCUACUAACCCCAAACCCCCAGUCCAUCUCACUCCUUUUCCCCUCCUUUUGGCAACUUAUUAUCUUCCUUCAAACAGAAUUUGAUAGAGUUGUCAUUCAGUAUUUCUUUUCAUGAUUUUUGUAUCUGUCUUCUGAGACCCUUGAUUCUUGUCCUGCCUCAUUAGCCACUCCUGGUUUUCUGUGCAGGGUCAUCCUCUCUAUUCUUCCAAACACUGGAGUGACUUAGCCGUGAGUGUUCACCUCUUUUCCCUCUAUCAUCACUUCAUAGGUGAUGUUAGCCCAGUUCCAUUCAUAUGCCAACAAUUUCUAAAUGUCCAUCUCCAUCAUGUACCUCCACUUUCCAAUCAAGCUGUCCAUUCCUACCUCCACAUGGAGGUCAGCCAGGCCUAGCGCUUCUCUCAGACCCUACAUCCUCAAAGCCAAAUCUCCGCAUUCUAGCUGCCAUGAUACCACCAUUUCCUCUCUUAAUCUCAGGAAAUGCCAGCUCUUUGCUUUCAGGUGAGUUGAACUAGUUUUUUUUGUUUGUUUGUUUGUUUGUUUGUUUUUAAAGUAGCCAACAAAUAUCCGGUUAUUUUUGUUCAGAAGACACUUGGGAAUCUUAACUGAGUACCUGUUUAAAUACUCUCACAAAUAGAACUAGGUAAACUAUCAAUGUGGAAACAUAUUCAUCUAGGCAGUAUUAACUACUGAAGAUUUUCUAAAAUAGAUGUGUCUUUGAAUGUGACUUGGAGUUGGAGAGCAAAUGUUAUAUGAUUAAAAGGAAUAAACUGGAUAAAGAUAUGGGCUGCUUUAACUAAGCUAAAAAUUGAGAAACAUCAAUUAAUUCAAUUACUAAAUAUAUACAGAGUCCUUGCUUUGUGCCAGCUCUUUGUUAUGUGCUGUUAAUUUGAAUGGUGGCAAAAUUAGAAUGGUUUUGGCCAUUGUAUUACAUUGGUUAAGCUAUCCCCAUAACAUCAAAGUGCAAGUGAAGCAGGAAAUGCUGAUGUAAAAGCUGUAGCAAGUUAUCCAGAAGAUCUAGCUAAGAUAGUUAAUGAAAGUGUCUACACUAAGCCACAGAUUUUCAGUUUAGAUGAAAUAGCCUUCUUUUGGAAGAAGAUGCCAUCUAGGACUUUUAUAGCUAGAGGGAAGUCACUACUUGACUUGAAAGCUCCAAAAGACGGACUCUCUUAUUGGGGGUUAAUGUACCUGGUGACUUUAAGCCAAAGCCAUUGCUUGCUUAUCAUUCCCCAAAGCCUAGAACCCUUAAGAAUUAUGCUAAAUCUACUCCACUUGUUCUCUAUAAAUGAAAAAACAAGACCAGCAUGGCAACACAUCUGUUUAAAACAUGGUUUACUGGAUAUUUUAAGCCCACUGUUAAGAUAUACUGCUCAGGAAAAAAAAAUUCCUUUUAAAAUAUUACUGCUCAGUGACAAUGAACCUAGUUACCUCAGGAGCUCUGGUGGAUGUAUUCAAUGAGAUGGAUAUUGUUUAUAUGCCUAUUAAUAAAACAACAGUUCUUUAGCCCAUGGAUCAAAGAAUAAUUCCUACUUUCAAACCUUAUUAUUUAAGAAAUUCAUCUCAUAAAGCUUAGCUUCCAUAGACAGUGAUUCCUCUGAUGGAUUUGGGUAAAGUAAACUGAAAAUCAUCUGGAAAAGAUUCACCAUUCCAGAUGCCAUUAAAACAUUCAUGAUUAUGCAAAGGGUUCAAAAUGUCAAAAUUAAUAGAAGUUUGGAAGGAGUUGAUUCCAACCCUCACGGAUGUCUUUGAGGGAUUCAACACUUCAGUGGAGGAAACAACUGCAGAUGUGGUGCAAACAGCAAGAGAACUGGAAUUAGAAGUGGAACCUGGAGAUGGGACUGAAUUGCUGCAUCUCAUUAUAUACCUUGAAUGGAUGAGGAAUUGCUUCUAAUUGAUGAGCAAAGAAAGUGGUUUUUUGAGGUGGAAAGUAUGGCUGAUGAAGAUGCUGGGAAGUUUAUUGAAAUGACAACAAAUAAUUUAGAAUGUGACAUAUAUUUCUUUGAUAAAGCAGCAGGAGAGUUUGAGAAGAUUGUUUCCAAUUUUGAAAGAAGUUCUACUGUGGGUAAAAUGUGACCAAACAGCAUAGAGAAAUUGUUCAUGAAAGGAAGAGUCAAUCAAUGGGGAAAAUGUUAUUCUUAUUUUAAGAAAUGGCCAAAGCCACCCCAAGCUUUAGCAGCCACCAUCCUGAUCAGUUAGCAGCCAUCAAGACUGAGAUAAGAUCCUCCACCAGAAAAAGAAAAUUGAGUUGUUGAAAGCUCAUGAUUUUUAGCAAUAAAUGUGUUUUAAUUAAGAUAUGUACAUUGUAUUUCAGACACAAUGCUAUUGUACACAUAAUAGACUACAAUAUAGUAUAAACAUAACUUGUAUAUGCACUGGGAAGCCAAAAAAAAUGUAUGUGAUUUGCCAUAUUGAGAUCAUCACUUUAUUCUGGUGAUCUGUAACAAACCUGCAAUAUCUCUGAGGUCUGUCUGUAUUAACCUUCUUCUUAUUCUGGUAUGACUCAGAGGGUCUCAUUUUCCAUCUCAUUAUCUCUUCAAUGCAUUUCUUCUACUCACAUGUAUAUAGCUCCUAGAAAAAGUUCACAAAAAGCAAUUUGUUCCAGGUUUCUAUAUUUUCAAUAAUGGCUUGAAAUUCAGCAAUAUUAUGAGGUCUCUUAUUCACUGGCAUCUCCAGGUCAAUUGUGGUGGUGUUGUGAUUUGUAAUAUGAGGAAAGGACACUCCAGUCUUUGAUGAUGGGAAAGUUUCAGAAGGAGGAGAAAGAGGCAAAUUAGAAAAGCUGAAAUGCGAUGACAGCGGAGCAGUAGAAAAGAUUCUGAAGCACCUGAAAAUAUGUUCCAGGUUCUAUUUUAGAUGAAGAAUGAUGAGAAGCCCCAGAUGCCACAAGUGUCAGAGACAGAAAUAAGCCUGCCCUUCUGACCAGCAUCCUUUAGACUCUUCCUAAGGUAUUGUCCACUGGGGUCUCACUUGAAAAGGGAAGUGGAUACUGUGGAGAGGGCUCAAGGAGCACAAAGCCCUAGAGACUGAGAACAAGCCCUGUGCUUCAGCCGAAGGGUGGAGUGCUCUAUUUUCAGUUGUUAGAAGAGAAAGCUUUUGGUCAUAAUAACCAUUCUUGGGGAAUAGGAAAAGCUUUUUUUAAAAAAAAGAAUUUAUUUUUUUUCUCUACAAAGAAUCAAAGAAGGGGGGAAAGAAGUAGAAAUACAAAAUAACUCUUCCUGAAUCUAAUUGAGUGAUGAAACCACAGCUGGAAGCCUCCAGCUUUUCUACACAAUGGCAGUUAGUAUUUAUCCACCUGGAUGCAAACGGCUGGUCCAGAUGACAUCCUGCUUAUCUGCCAGGCGUUCUCAUCUGGGCUCUUCCUGUGUAGCACGAAGGCAUUCUGCAUAAUGCGAAUCAUCUGUCAGGGCUUGGAACUGGUAAUGAUGUGAGCCAUCACUGGUUUACAUACCAAAAAUAUCUGUUACCAGGAAGCUCCUACAACCUGUAUGUGAUGUCAGAGUUUACUCUCAACCAUUAUCACUUCUAAGUAAAGAAAGUUGUAUGUUGUUUCAGUCUACCAAAAAAAAAAAAAAA